GACGAACGCUGGCGGCGUGCUUAACACAUGCAAGUCGAGCGAUGAAGCUUCUUCGGAAGUGGAUUAGCGGCGGACGGGUGAGUAACACGUGGGUAACCUGCCUCAUAGAGGGGAAUAGCCUUCCGAAAGGAAGAUUAAUACCGCAUAAGAUUGUAAUAUCGCAUGAUAUAGUAAUUAAAGGAGCAAUCCGCUAUGAGAUGGACCCGCGUCGCAUUAGCUAGUUGGUGAGGUAACGGCUCACCAAGGCGACGAUGCGUAGCCGACCUGAGAGGGUGAUCGGCCACAUUGGGACUGGGACACGGCCCAGACUCCUACGGGAGGCAGCAGUGGGGAAUAUUGCACAAUGGGGGAAACCCUGAUGCAGCAACGCCGCGUGAGUGAUGACGGUCUUCGGAUUGUAAAGCUCUGUCUUCAGGGACGAUAAUGACGGUACCUGAGGAGGAAGCCACGGCUAACUACGUGCCAGCAGCCGCGGUAA
This 478-nucleotide ribosomal RNA is filed under the name uncultured bacterium. RNAcentral's name for it is "partial 16S ribosomal RNA". It matches the Rfam family "Bacterial small subunit ribosomal RNA", at positions 28 to 523 of the family's 1533-position model. The record is from RNAcentral.